GCCGCCAUAGCUCAGUGGCAGAGCGCGUUCUUGGUAAGAACGAGGCCUCGGGUUCAACCCCGAUGGUGGCUCCA
RNAcentral lists this transfer RNA (74 nucleotides) under Mycobacteroides abscessus subsp. abscessus. RNAcentral's name for it is "tRNA-Thr(ggt)". It matches the Rfam family "tRNA". From Rfam's summary of the family: Transfer RNA (tRNA) molecules are approximately 80 nucleotides in length. Their secondary structure includes four short double-helical elements and three loops (D, anti-codon, and T loops). Lineage: Bacteria; Bacillati; Actinomycetota; Actinomycetes; Mycobacteriales; Mycobacteriaceae. The record is from RNAcentral.